UACAGAGGGUGCAAGCGUUGUUCGGAAUUAUUGGGCGUAAAGAGCGUGUAGGCGGCCUGACAGGUCUGCUGUGAAAACUCGAGGCUCAACCUCGAGAUGUCGGCGGAAACCGUCUGGCUAGAGUCCGGAAGAGGAGAGUGGAAUUCCUGGUGUAGCGGUGAAAUGCGCAGAUAUCAGGAAGAACACCUAUGGCGAAGGCAGCGCUCUGGGACGGUACUGACGCUGAGACGCGAAAGCGUGGGGAGCGAACAGG
This 253-nucleotide ribosomal RNA is filed under the name uncultured bacterium. Its description in RNAcentral is "partial 16S ribosomal RNA". It matches the Rfam family "Bacterial small subunit ribosomal RNA", at positions 524 to 776 of the family's 1533-position model. The record is from RNAcentral.